UGGUUCUGAAAGAAGAGGGUCUACCUUCC
This 29-nucleotide non-coding RNA is filed under the name Homo sapiens (human). The record is from RNAcentral. Lineage: Eukaryota; Metazoa; Chordata; Mammalia; Primates; Hominidae.